This 368-nucleotide long non-coding RNA is filed under the name Vigna radiata. Its description in RNAcentral is "long non-coding RNA (VRAD_LNC014265)". The record is from RNAcentral. Lineage: Eukaryota; Viridiplantae; Streptophyta; Magnoliopsida; Fabales; Fabaceae.
AAAGAAAAUAAUGGAUGAAUGAAUGUUGUUGGGGGUUUACAAUUUCAUCUAAUCCGCUCUCUCAUAUCUAAUCCUCUUGAAUAUUAGUUUGAUUCAUUAAUUGUCAUGCGACUUUCUUAGCCUACUCUUAACACCAAUCCCUCAGAGAAAAGAGCCUAAUAUUAACUACUGGCUUGCUAUCCCUAGCCUCCCCUAGCAAUUAAUACAACAUUAUAGAGCAGAAGUUAACGCAAUUGAUCGUCCUACCCCUAUCCCUAGGUGGUAUUGCAAAAUCAAGAAAUUACUCACCAGUUCAUGACAUUACUGUACGUCCCCGUAUCAAUAAAGACAAACAACAGUUACCGAAUGAGUUAAACGAUAAAGGCCUU